This 1534-nucleotide ribosomal RNA is filed under the name Escherichia coli. RNAcentral describes it as "bacterial SSU rRNA". It matches the Rfam family "Bacterial small subunit ribosomal RNA". Lineage: Bacteria; Pseudomonadati; Pseudomonadota; Gammaproteobacteria; Enterobacterales; Enterobacteriaceae. The record is from RNAcentral.
GAGUUUGAUCAUGGCUCAGAUUGAACGCUGGCGGCAGGCCUAACACAUGCAAGUCGAACGGUAACAGGAAGCAGCUUGCUGCUUUGCUGACGAGUGGCGGACGGGUGAGUAAUGUCUGGGAAACUGCCUGAUGGAGGGGGAUAACUACUGGAAACGGUAGCUAAUACCGCAUAACGUCGCAAGACCAAAGAGGGGGACCUUCGGGCCUCUUGCCAUCGGAUGUGCCCAGAUGGGAUUAGCUAGUAGGUGGGGUAACGGCUCACCUAGGCGACGAUCCCUAGCUGGUCUGAGAGGAUGACCAGCCACACUGGAACUGAGACACGGUCCAGACUCCUACGGGAGGCAGCAGUGGGGAAUAUUGCACAAUGGGCGCAAGCCUGAUGCAGCCAUGCCGCGUGUAUGAAGAAGGCCUUCGGGUUGUAAAGUACUUUCAGCGGGGAGGAAGGGAGUAAAGUUAAUACCUUUGCUCAUUGACGUUACCCGCAGAAGAAGCACCGGCUAACUCCGUGCCAGCAGCCGCGGUAAUACGGAGGGUGCAAGCGUUAAUCGGAAUUACUGGGCGUAAAGCGCACGCAGGCGGUUUGUUAAGUCAGAUGUGAAAUCCCCGGGCUCAACCUGGGAACUGCAUCUGAUACUGGCAAGCUUGAGUCUCGUAGAGGGGGGUAGAAUUCCAGGUGUAGCGGUGAAAUGCGUAGAGAUCUGGAGGAAUACCGGUGGCGAAGGCGGCCCCCUGGACGAAGACUGACGCUCAGGUGCGAAAGCGUGGGGAGCAAACAGGAUUAGAUACCCUGGUAGUCCACGCCGUAAACGAUGUCGACUUGGAGGUUGUGCCCUUGAGGCGUGGCUUCCGGAGCUAACGCGUUAAGUCGACCGCCUGGGGAGUACGGCCGCAAGGUUAAAACUCAAAUGAAUUGACGGGGGCCCGCACAAGCGGUGGAGCAUGUGGUUUAAUUCGAUGCAACGCGAAGAACCUUACCUGGUCUUGACAUCCACGGAAGUUUUCAGAGAUGAGAAUGUGCCUUCGGGAACCGUGAGACAGGUGCUGCAUGGCUGUCGUCAGCUCGUGUUGUGAAAUGUUGGGUUAAGUCCCGCAACGAGCGCAACCCUUAUCCUUUGUUGCCAGCGGUCCGGCCGGGAACUCAAAGGAGACUGCCAGUGAUAAACUGGAGGAAGGUGGGGAUGACGUCAAGUCAUCAUGGCCCUUACGACCAGGGCUACACACGUGCUACAAUGGCGCAUACAAAGAGAAGCGACCUCGCGAGAGCAAGCGGACCUCAUAAAGUGCGUCGUAGUCCGGAUUGGAGUCUGCAACUCGACUCCAUGAAGUCGGAAUCGCUAGUAAUCGUGGAUCAGAAUGCCACGGUGAAUACGUUCCCGGGCCUUGUACACACCGCCCGUCACACCAUGGGAGUGGGUUGCAAAAGAAGUAGGUAGCUUAACCUUCGGGAGGGCGCUUACCACUUUGUGAUUCAUGACUGGGGUGAAGUCGUAACAAGGUAACCGUAGGGGAACCUGCGGUUGGAUCACCUCCUUA